Molecule: ribosomal RNA, 326 nt
Filed under: uncultured bacterium
Lineage: Bacteria
Description: bacterial SSU rRNA
Rfam family: Bacterial small subunit ribosomal RNA
Source: RNAcentral
UCGAACGAUGAACUCCAGCUUGCUGGGGGUCUUAGUGGCGAAGGGGUGAGUAACACGUGAGUAACCUGCCCUUGACUCUGGGAUAACACUGGAAACGGUGUCUAAUACCGGAUACGACCUUCCGCCGCAUGGUGAGGGGGUGGAAAGAAUUUCGGUCAAGGAUGGACUCGCGGCCUAUCCCCUUGUUGGUGAGGUAAUGGCUCACCAAGGCGACGACGGGUAGCCGGCCUGAGAGGGUGACCGGCCACACUGGGACUGAGACACGGCCCAGACUCCUACGGGAGGCAGCAGUGGGGGAAUAUUGCACAAUGGGGCGAAAGCCUGAU